Molecule: non-coding RNA, 242 nt
Organism: Thiorhodovibrio sp.
Lineage: Bacteria; Pseudomonadati; Pseudomonadota; Gammaproteobacteria; Chromatiales; Chromatiaceae
Rfam family: HNH endonuclease-associated RNA and ORF (HEARO) RNA
Source: Rfam
GUCAACUACCCCGCCCUGAAGGGCGGAGCUUGAAAGAGCUUGGUUGACCAGCCUAAGUUCGCCUGACCAGGAGGUCGAAAGGGGCUACGUGUGUCACAGGUCGUUCAGACUCACCGGCGGAUGCUUCCUCAGUCAGCCGCUCUGAAAGGCCAGUAUCAUGCUGGCGCAAGGUAAAACGCCGAAGGUCUGAUCGCCGCCGCAGGGCGGGAGCCGGUGGCACACAUUGGCGAGGGGAGCGAGCC